RNAcentral lists this unclassified non-coding RNA (376 nucleotides) under uncultured bacterium. RNAcentral describes it as "contains 16S-23S intergenic spacer region". The record is from RNAcentral.
UCCGAGUUGACCCCGGCAGUCUCCUGCGAGUCCCCGCCAUUACGCGCUGGCAACACAGGACAAGGGUUGCGCUCGUUGCGGGACUUAACCCAACAUCUCACGGCACGAGCUGACGACAGCCAUGCAGCACCUGUGCUAGCCCCUUGCGGACACCGGCUUUCACCGGCUUUAACUAGCAUGUCAAGCCUAGGUAAGGUUCUUCGCGUUGCAUCGAAUUAAGCCACAUGCUCCGCCGCUUGUGCGGGCCCCCGUCAAUUCCUUUGAGUUUUAACCUUGCGGCCGUACUUCCCAGGCGGGGUACUUACUGCGUUAGCGGCGGCACCGGGGGGGUCGAUACCCCCGACACCUAGUGCCCAUCGUUUACGGCGUGGACUAC